CAUCUAGGAACCUCGCCAUGAAAUUGAGAAAUGUUUUCAAAUGUGAAAAGGCUUCCAGCCUUCAGCGGGGUAUUCCAAAAUAGAAGAACAUAUUUGUUUGUUUUUCAGAGCAGAAAACCUAGAGAGCAUUUGCUUCUGGACAAGUUGGUUGACUCACAAAAGAGAAAAGCAAUCGCCUCAGGAGUGACUCAAGACUUGCACAUGCUCCGUUCUCUAGUGCGUUCCUGUGGACUGACGGGCACACGACUGACACAACGCCUCAUGCGUUGUCUCUAAAUAAAGACGAGCCUUGAACAUGUGGCCGCUCAUUAUCCACUGUCAACAGGCCGCUCUAGGCUCUGUCCCUACCUGCCGUCACACCGUGAAGACUAGACAUCAUCGAGACGGCGCCUCGAACGACAAACAGGAGGUUGAAUGAAUCUGGAGCUCCUUACAGUAAGCAGCCAGUGGCCCCUGUGUUGCCCAGCACCACAUCACUGAGGGCCUGAUGGACUGGCUAACUGGCCAGACGGACGAUUCAUCACAACACAAGAAUCAGCGCUCUCCUCAUGGGCUGCCAUCAAAAUGGAGGCAAACCUGUCCAACAGCAUGCAUCAAACUGGGUUUCCCCUCAGCACUCAGACACCACCUGGUGCUGGUCUGCUCACACCUGCAGGACACACAGGGAGAGCAGAAGCAUCCACAGACCUGAGGAGGGAACACUCGCUGUGCUAACAAACCCCCCAAUACAACACUUUACUGUAAAAUGGGUCCUGGCUUUCUGCCUCGCUUCAAGUAAAAACCAGCCUACUAUCAUGAGGUUGGGGAAAGCGUCUUGAUAAUCCCAGUUUUCUCCCUCCAACUACGUCGCUGUGGUUCUCAACAGCUCUGAAAGAAAACAAGAACAAUAAUGCAUGAAAGUUAUAUUUCACAUUCUUUCUGAUGUUCUUCUUCCAAGUGUCUGAUUGUACUAUCUUCUGUGUAUUAUUCACUGUGUUCAGCAAAGGGAAAAAUAAAUGUUUGUG
Molecule: long non-coding RNA, 1004 nt
Organism: Hypomesus transpacificus
Lineage: Eukaryota; Metazoa; Chordata; Actinopteri; Osmeriformes; Osmeridae
Exons: 5
Source: RefSeq, a predicted model, not a curated record